AGAGUUUGAUCCUGGCUCAGGAUGAACGCUGGCGGCGUGCUUAACACAUGCAAGUCGAACGAUCCUUCGGGAUAGUGGCGGACGGGUGAGUAACGCGUGGGAAUCUGCCCUCAGGAGGGGGAUAACGGCUGGAAACGGCCGCUAAUACCCCAUAUGCCGAGAGGUGAAAUGAAUUUCGCCUGAGGAUGAGCCCGCGUCUGAUUAGCUAGUUGGUGGGGUAAAGGCCUACCAAGGCAACGAUCAGUAGCUGGUCUGAGAGGAUGAUCAGCCACACUGGGACUGAGACACGGCCCAGACUCCUACGGGAGGCAGCAGUGGGGAAUUUUCCGCAAUGGGCGAAAGCCUGACGGAGCAACGCCGCGUGAGGGAUGAAGGCCUCUGGGCUGUAAACCUCUUUUCUCAAGGAAGAAGACCUGACGGUACUUGAGGAAUAAGCCACGGCUAAUUCCGUGCCAGCAGCCGCGGUAAUUCGGGAGUGGCAAGCGUUAUCCGGAAUUAUUGGGCGUAAAGCGUCCGCAGGCGGCCUUGUAAGUCUGUUGUUAAAGCGUGGAGCUCAACUCCAUUUAAGCAAUGGAAACUACAAGGCUGGAGUGUGGUAGGGGCAGAGGGAAUUCCCGGUGUAGCGGUGAAAUGCGUAGAUAUCGGGAAGAACACCAGUGGCGAAGGCGCUCUGCUGGGCCAUAACUGACGCUCAUGGACGAAAGCCAGGGGAGCGAAAGGGAUUAGAUACCCCUGUAGUCCUGGCCGUAAACGAUGAACACUAGGUGUCGGGGGAAUCGACCCCCUCGGUGUCGUAGCCAACGCGUUAAGUGUUCCGCCUGGGGAGUACGCACGCAAGUGUGAAACUCAAAGGAAUUGACGGGGGCCCGCACAAGCGGUGGAGUAUGUGGUUUAAUUCGAUGCAACGCGAAGAACCUUACCAGGGUUUGACAUCCUGCGAACCCCUGAGAAAUCGGGGGGUGCCUUCGGGAGCGCAGAGACAGGUGGUGCAUGGCUGUCGUCAGCUCGUGUCGUGAGAUGUUGGGUUAAGUCCCGCAACGAGCGCAACCCACGUCUUUAGUUGCCAGCAUUCAGUUGGGCACUCUAGAGAGACCGCCGGUGAUAAACCGGAGGAAGGUGUGGAUGACGUCAAGUCAUCAUGCCCCUUACAUCCUGGGCUACACACGUACUACAAUGCUACGGACAAAGGGCAGCGAGCUCGCGAGAGUUAGCAAAUCCCAUAAACCGUGGCUCAGUUCAGAUCGUAGGCUGCAACUCGCCUACGUGAAGGAGGAAUCGCUAGUAAUCGCAGGUCAGCAUACUGCGGUGAAUACGUUCCCGGGCCUUGUACACACCGCCCGUCACACCAUGGAAGUUGGCCAUGCCCGAAGUCGUUACUCCAACCCUUGUGGAGGAGGACGCCGAAGGUGGGGCUGAUGACUGGGGUGAAGUCGUAACAAGGUA
RNAcentral lists this ribosomal RNA (1443 nucleotides) under metagenome. RNAcentral's name for it is "bacterial SSU rRNA". It matches the Rfam family "Bacterial small subunit ribosomal RNA". The record is from RNAcentral.